GAUGAACGCUGGCGGCGUGCUUAACACAUGCAAGUCGAACGGUGAAGGCGGAGCUUGCUCUGCUGGAUCAGUGGCGAACGGGUGAGUAACACGUGAGCAACCUGCCCCUGACUCUGGGAUAAGCGCUGGAAACGGCGUCUAAUACUGGAUACGAGCUGCGAAGGCAUCUUCAGCAGCUGGAAAGAAUUUCGGUCAGGGAUGAGCUCGCGGCCUAUCAGCUUGUUGGUGAGGUAAUGGCUCACCAAGGCGUCGACGGGUAGCCGGCCUGAGAGGGUGACCGGCCACACUGGGACUGAGACACGGCCCAGACUCCUACGGGAGGCAGCAGUGGGGAAUAUUGCACAAUGGGCGAAAGCCUGAUGCAGCAACGCCGCGUGAGGGACGACGGCCUUCGGGUUGUAAACCUCUUUUAGCAGGGAAGAAGCGAAAGUGACGGUACCUGCAGAAAAAGCGCCGGCUAACUACGUG
This 468-nucleotide ribosomal RNA is filed under the name uncultured bacterium. RNAcentral's name for it is "partial 16S ribosomal RNA". It matches the Rfam family "Bacterial small subunit ribosomal RNA", at positions 28 to 507 of the family's 1533-position model. The record is from RNAcentral.